AUAAUUAAUGGCGAUGGAGCUCGCCAAAACCGCUAUUCCAGUGAAAAGAUUGCAUCUGGAAGGCUGAUGGCUCCUACUUUCCU
Molecule: non-coding RNA, 83 nt
Filed under: Nostoc sp.
Lineage: Bacteria; Bacillati; Cyanobacteriota; Cyanophyceae; Nostocales; Nostocaceae
Also listed under: 1 other name
Description: Fluoride sequence
Rfam family: Fluoride riboswitch aptamer (crcB RNA motif)
Source: RNAcentral